Camellia sinensis is the source of this 972-nucleotide non-coding RNA. The record is from RefSeq and is a predicted model, not a curated record. Lineage: Eukaryota; Viridiplantae; Streptophyta; Magnoliopsida; Ericales; Theaceae.
GAAGUAUUAUGCACAAGAUCAAAGUAAAAUUUACAGAGGACACAGAAUGAAAGCAAUUCAGCUCCAAAAUAUUUACUAUCUUAUGCCAAUAGCAUUGGUCACACAAUUUUACUUUCUUCUUCCUUUCUUAAGUUAUGUUCUUUUCAUAUUACUAAUAAUAACAGCAGAAGCAACAACUACUUAAAGUCUUCACAAUCAAUCUGUUAACAUAGCCCUUAGUUGAAUUCAGACCUUCUUAAGUAGAAAUAUGAUCUAUAUAUGAAGCACGAGUACUCCAAAAAUGUUGCCGUACAAGUACCGGGUACUUCCCGGGUGCGGGUACGCCUAUCGAUACGGCUGCACGCGUACCGGGUACGUCAAAAACGCACUCGGUACGUUUUAUACGGUCAGUAUACCGAUGGAUACGCCGCAUGUACGCCAUGGGUACGUUUUGAGUACUCUGGGAUAAAAAAAUGAGAUUUUUUAUAAAUUAAAGGGUACCAGAGCAAUUUUUUAUAUCUAUUUUAAAGAAUUAUAAAAAUCUGAGGUUUUUUUUGUAAUAAAUGAAACAUGAAACCAAAUAAAAUUAGGAUUCUUAAUAAAUAAAACAUGAAACCAAAUAAAAUUAGGGUUCUUUAUUCUCUCUAUCAUUCGUUCAUCUCAGCUCCUUCCAUAUCUCAUUCCGAAAUUCUCCAAGGCUGAAGAACUUCGAAGGUGCUAGGUUUCCAUGUCUAUUCGAUCAUCUCCUUCCAGAAAUACUCCCAAGAGAGUCUGAAGAACACUUCGAAGGUGCAAUUGAAAGGUUUAAUCGAAGGUGCUGCUGAUUGAUUCUCUCAUUCGAAGGUGCGAUUGAAGAGGUCAAUAUGGGAGUCCGAUUGAAAGGUGUUGUAGUGUCCUUGUUCUUGUCAUACUUGUCACUGAAACAGUGCAUAAUAUGUCAAAGUAAGAUUUCACAAAUAUUAUAAAAAAAUAUCUUGUCAUAUUUGUCUUUUA